RNAcentral lists this ribosomal RNA (2904 nucleotides) under Escherichia coli. RNAcentral describes it as "23S ribosomal RNA". It matches the Rfam family "Bacterial large subunit ribosomal RNA". Lineage: Bacteria; Pseudomonadati; Pseudomonadota; Gammaproteobacteria; Enterobacterales; Enterobacteriaceae. RNAcentral also lists the same sequence under 2 other names. The record is from RNAcentral.
GGUUAAGCGACUAAGCGUACACGGUGGAUGCCCUGGCAGUCAGAGGCGAUGAAGGACGUGCUAAUCUGCGAUAAGCGUCGGUGAGGUGAUAUGAACCGUUAUAACCGGCGAUUUCCGAAUGGGGAAACCCAGUGUGUUUCGACACACUAUCAUUAACUGAAUCCAUAGGUUAAUGAGGCGAACCGGGGGAACUGAAACAUCUAAGUACCCCGAGGAAAAGAAAUCAACCGAGAUUCCCCCAGUAGCGGCGAGCGAACGGGGAGGAGCCCAGAGCCUGAAUCAGUGUGUGUGUUAGUGGAAGCGUCUGGAAAGGCGCGCGAUACAGGGUGACAGCCCCGUACACAAAAAUACACAUAUUGUGAGCUCGAUGAGUAGGGCGGGACACGUGGUAUCCUGUCUGAAUAUGGGGGGACCAUCCUCCAAGGCUAAAUACUCCUGACUGACCGAUAGUGAACCAGUACCGUGAGGGAAAGGCGAAAAGAACCCCGGCGAGGGGAGUGAAAAAGAACCUGAAACCGUGUACGUACAAGCAGUGGGAGCCUCUUUAUGGGGUGACUGCGUACCUUUUGUAUAAUGGGUCAGCGACUUAUAUUCUGUAGCAAGGUUAACCGAAUAGGGGAGCCGAAGGGAAACCGAGUCUUAACUGGGCGUUAAGUUGCAGGGUAUAGACCCGAAACCCGGUGAUCUAGCCAUGGGCAGGUUGAAGGUUGGGUAACACUAACUGGAGGACCGAACCGACUAAUGUUGAAAAAUUAGCGGAUGACUUGUGGCUGGGGGUGAAAGGCCAAUCAAACCGGGAGAUAGCUGGUUCUCCCCGAAAGCUAUUUAGGUAGCGCCUCGUGAAUUCAUCUCCGGGGGUAGAGCACUGUUUCGGCAAGGGGGUCAUCCCGACUUACCAACCCGAUGCAAACUGCGAAUACCGGAGAAUGUUAUCACGGGAGACACACGGCGGGUGCUAACGUCCGUCGUGAAGAGGGAAACAACCCAGACCGCCAGCUAAGGUCCCAAAGUCAUGGUUAAGUGGGAAACGAUGUGGGAAGGCCCAGACAGCCAGGAUGUUGGCUUAGAAGCAGCCAUCAUUUAAAGAAAGCGUAAUAGCUCACUGGUCGAGUCGGCCUGCGCGGAAGAUGUAACGGGGCUAAACCAUGCACCGAAGCUGCGGCAGCGACACUAUGUGUUGUUGGGUAGGGGAGCGUUCUGUAAGCCUGUGAAGGUGGCCUGUGAGGGUUGCUGGAGGUAUCAGAAGUGCGAAUGCUGACAUAAGUAACGAUAAAGCGGGUGAAAAGCCCGCUCGCCGGAAGACCAAGGGUUCCUGUCCAACGUUAAUCGGGGCAGGGUGAGUCGACCCCUAAGGCGAGGCCGAAAGGCGUAGUCGAUGGGAAACAGGUUAAUAUUCCUGUACUUGGUGUUACUGCGAAGGGGGGACGGAGAAGGCUAUGUUGGCCGGGCGACGGUUGUCCCGGUUUAAGCGUGUAGGCUGGUUUUCCAGGCAAAUCCGGAAAACCAAGGCUGAGGCGUGAUGACGAGGCACUACGGUGCUGAAGCGACAAAUGCCCUGCUUCCAGGAAAAGCCUCUAAGCAUCAGGUAACAUCAAAUCGUACCCCAAACCGACACAGGUGGUCAGGUAGAGAAUACCAAGGCGCUUGAGAGAACUCGGGUGAAGGAACUAGGCAAAAUGGUGCCGUAACUUCGGGAGAAGGCACGCUGAUAUGUAGGUGAAGCGACUUGCUCGUGGAGCUGAAAUCAGUCGAAGAUACCAGCUGGCUGCAACUGUUUAUUAAAAACACAGCACUGUGCAAACACGAAAGUGGACGUAUACGGUGUGACGCCUGCCCGGUGCCGGAAGGUUAAUUGAUGGGGUUAGCGGUAACGCGAAGCUCUUGAUCGAAGCCCCGGUAAACGGCGGCCGUAACUAUAACGGUCCUAAGGUAGCGAAAUUCCUUGUCGGGUAAGUUCCGACCUGCACGAAUGGCGUAAUGAUGGCCAGGCUGUCUCCACCCGAGACUCAGUGAAAUUGAACUCGCUGUGAAGAUGCAGUGUACCCGCGGCAAGACGGAAAGACCCCGUGAACCUUUACUAUAGCUUGACACUGAACAUUGAGCCUUGAUGUGUAGGAUAGGUGGGAGGCUUUGAAGUGUGGACGCCAGUCUGCAUGGAGCCGACCUUGAAAUACCACCCUUUAAUGUUUGAUGUUCUAACGUUGGCCCGUAAUCCGGGUUGCGGACAGUGUCUGGUGGGUAGUUUGACUGGGGCGGUCUCCUCCUAAAGAGUAACGGAGGAGCACGAAGGUUGGCUAAUCCUGGUCGGACAUCAGGAGGUUAGUGCAAUGGCAUAAGCCAGCUUGACUGCGAGCGUGACGGCGCGAGCAGGUGCGAAAGCAGGUCAUAGUGAUCCGGUGGUUCUGAAUGGAAGGGCCAUCGCUCAACGGAUAAAAGGUACUCCGGGGAUAACAGGCUGAUACCGCCCAAGAGUUCAUAUCGACGGCGGUGUUUGGCACCUCGAUGUCGGCUCAUCACAUCCUGGGGCUGAAGUAGGUCCCAAGGGUAUGGCUGUUCGCCAUUUAAAGUGGUACGCGAGCUGGGUUUAGAACGUCGUGAGACAGUUCGGUCCCUAUCUGCCGUGGGCGCUGGAGAACUGAGGGGGGCUGCUCCUAGUACGAGAGGACCGGAGUGGACGCAUCACUGGUGUUCGGGUUGUCAUGCCAAUGGCACUGCCCGGUAGCUAAAUGCGGAAGAGAUAAGUGCUGAAAGCAUCUAAGCACGAAACUUGCCCCGAGAUGAGUUCUCCCUGAGACUUAGAGUCUCCUGAAGGAACGUUGAAGACGACGACGUUGAUAGGCCGGGUGUGUAAGCGCAGCGAUGCGUUGAGCUAACCGGUACUAAUGAACCGUGAGGCUUAACCUU